UACGUAGGGUGCAAGCGUUGUCCGGAAUUAUUGGGCGUAAAGAGCUCGUAGGCGGUUUGUCGCGUCUGCUGUGAAAUCCCGAGGCUCAACCUCGGGUCUGCAGUGGGUACGGGCAGACUGGAGUGCGGUAGGGGAGAAUGGAAUUCCUGGUGUAGCGGUGGAAUGCGCAGAUAUCAGGAGGAACACCGAUGGCGAAGGCAGUUCUCUGGGCCGUAACUGACGCUGAGGAGCGAAAGCGUGGGUAGCAAACAGG
Molecule: ribosomal RNA, 253 nt
Filed under: uncultured bacterium
Lineage: Bacteria
Description: partial 16S ribosomal RNA
Rfam family: Bacterial small subunit ribosomal RNA
Source: RNAcentral